Molecule: ribosomal RNA, 623 nt
Filed under: uncultured bacterium
Lineage: Bacteria
Description: bacterial SSU rRNA
Rfam family: Bacterial small subunit ribosomal RNA
Source: RNAcentral
CCUACGGGAGGCAGCAGUGGGGAAUUUUGGACAAUGGGCGCAAGCCUGAUCCAGCAAUGCCGCGUGCAGGAUGAAGGCCUUCGGGUUGUAAACUGCUUUUGUACGGAGCGAAACGGUCUGCCCUAAUACGGUGGGCUAAUGACGGUACCGUAAGAAUAAGCACCGGCUAACUACGUGCCAGCAGCCGCGGUAAUACGUAGGGUGCGAGCGUUAAUCGGAAUUACUGGGCGUAAAGCGUGCGCAGGCGGUGAUGUAAGACAGAUGUGAAAUCCCCGGGCUCAACCUGGGACCUGCAUUUGUGACUGCAUCGCUAGAGUACGGUAGAGGGGGAUGGAAUUCCGCGUGUAGCAGUGAAAUGCGUAGAUAUGCGGAGGAACACCGAUGGCGAAGGCAAUCCCCUGGACCUGUACUGACGCUCAUGCACGAAAGCGUGGGGAGCAAACAGGAUUAGAUACCCUGGUAGUCCACGCCCUAAACGAUGUCAACUGGUUGUUGGGUCUUCACUGACUCAGUAACGAAGCUAACGCGUGAAGUUGACCGCCUGGGGAGUACGGCCCGCAAGGUUGAAACGUCAAAUGAAUUGACGGCUUGGAGAGNGCGACGGACGACGACGAGGGAGGAGG